UACGGAGGGUGCAAGCAUUGAUCGGAAUUACUGGGCGUAAAGGGCGCGUAGGCGGUUGAAAAAGUCAGAUGUGAAAUUCCGGGGCUCAACCCCGGAGCAGCAUUUGAAACUUUUCAUCUAGAGUUCAGUUAGGGUAAACGGAAUUCCACGUGUAGCGGUGAAAUGCGUAGAUAUGUGGAAGAACACCGGUGGUGAAGACGGUUUACUGGGCUGAUACUGACGCUGAGGCGCGAAAGCUAGGGGAGCAAACAGG
Molecule: ribosomal RNA, 253 nt
Filed under: uncultured bacterium
Lineage: Bacteria
Description: partial 16S ribosomal RNA
Rfam family: Bacterial small subunit ribosomal RNA
Source: RNAcentral